This 344-nucleotide ribosomal RNA is filed under the name Heterotermes cardini. RNAcentral's name for it is "partial 16S ribosomal RNA". The record is from RNAcentral. Lineage: Eukaryota; Metazoa; Arthropoda; Insecta; Blattodea; Rhinotermitidae.
UGAAGGGCCGCGGUAUUUUGACCGUGCAAAGGUAGCAUAAUCAUUAGUUCUUUAAUUGUGAUCUGGAAUGAAUGGCUUGACGAGACACGAGCUGUCUUAAGUUGUGAAUAUUUUAUUGAAUUUGGUUUUUGAGUUAAAAUUCUUAGAUGUUUUUAUGGGACGAGAAGACCCUAUAGAGUUUAACAUUUGGUCUAUUUUUCUUAUUGUUUGUUUUGUUUAAUUGAGUGGGCUUAUUAUGUUUUGUUGGGGCGAUGAGAGGGAUAUAGUUUAACCUCUCUUUAUUUUGGUUAUAUUAAUUUAUAGUUGCUUGAUCCAUUGAUUUUGAUUAUAAGAUUAAAUUACCU